Pangasianodon gigas (Mekong giant catfish) is the source of this 77-nucleotide non-coding RNA. The record is from the annotation of a GenBank genome assembly. Lineage: Eukaryota; Metazoa; Chordata; Actinopteri; Siluriformes; Pangasiidae.
AUCUUCCUCAUACUUGGUGUUCAGGUAUCAGGGCAAAGGCACUCGGGUUUCACGUACAGAGACAGGAGCAGGAAAGA